Long non-coding RNA from Oreochromis aureus, 2038 nucleotides. The record is from Ensembl. NCBI's taxonomy places the organism in Eukaryota, Metazoa, Chordata, Actinopteri, Cichliformes, Cichlidae.
AGAGGGAGAUAGAGACUAAAUAAUAAGAACAUGUUUGGGCUACAACGGAGAUAAGAGAGUCAAAAGAGCUUCCAUAAAUCGAUCUCAGUAAAAUGCAGGAGUUGUAAAAUAAUCUAAUAAUGUCUCAGAGUUUGCAUGUGAAAUGUACAUGAGGGUUUGUUAUCACUCACCAAAGAAUAGUAAAUAAUGAAGUUUUGCUUGUUGUAGAAAGUUCUGCCGAGAGGUCAUAAACUCACCCAAAAGCAUACAGAGAGUGGAAAAGAUACCUGAGUAUUAUGAUGUGAAAUGAAUGAUUGUUGGAAAUAAAUUGUGUGAAGGUUAGAGGAGUUCAGAAUAAACAGGCUGACAUGUUGGGUGAAGUGGUCAUGAGGACAAAUAAUGAACAAAUUAACAUAAAGAGACACCUGCUAGAGAUCUGUUUAAAUGCAACUAACUGAUAUAUUAAACCCAGAGCAUAAGAGCUAAAAUCACUGGAUGCAAAAUGGUGAAGUGAAAUAGAAGAGUUUUGUUGGAAAUGGUGGUUUAAGUCAGAGAUCGUGACUUAACAAUUUAAAGUAAAGUUUAGCGCCUGUUGAGUGUGGCAGAGGGAGACAGUAGAGAGAAAAAAAGGAAAAGUGUUGUACUGAGAGAGCUCACAUCAGCUGAGCCACGGCUGCAGGAGGCGGCCCGUAAACAGCGUCACAGGGUGUAGCUGGCUCAAGUUGCUCUGACUAUGGAGUGUGUGGGGUGGGCCCCGACAUCCUGCCAAGAGUGUCCUUGACCAGUGCACAGUGCACAGGCUUUCAAAUGAUCUAAGCCAAAUGCAAGUGUGUGAGAAGAAGGAGUCACCUGAGACAGGAAGCAAAAUUGUUUGCUUAAAAAAGAAAAAAAAAGAGAUGUAACUUGUUUGUAAAGUUUGGGGCCCACAUCAGUUAAGAUGCUUAAACAAGUGAUCAAAUGCUGAGUACUAUGAACAAAAAACAACAAAAAUGUAUAAAAGAAUAGUACCCAACAGAGUGAGGAACAGGAAGAAAGAAGCUCUAAAUUUGAGAAUAAAAUAUUAGAAGAAACACCUGGGAGGAAAAUGAUGAGGCCAGUAAACUGGUUCUCAGGUAAAUUAAAAUAAAUAUAACAAACUAUUAAAAUAAGAACAGGGAAGUAAGACAGAACUGAAUGACAGAGGGCAAAAGACAUAACAGUAGAGAAGCAGUGGAAAGAAUUGAGAAUAAUAAUAAUUCAGCGAGUAAACAAAAAGUUUAAAUAUAAUAGUAACUGAUUAGAGUGUAAUGUUAACAAUAAUAAAACAAUAAUUAGAAAGAUGUAAUAAAUAAUGCCAUUAAGUGUAAUAGUAAAAUAAGAGGAAGAGUAGGUAAGAAUGUAAAGUGAUUACACUCAAGCACUUUAGAAAAAAAAAGAAUAAAAAUUUAAAGAAAAGAAUAUUUGGCUGGGAAAAGAAACAACAGAAAUAAAGUUGUGGGAUGCAUGGCUGGUCAACCUGCAGCUGUGGAUCAUUAGAAAUGCUGAUCAAUAAAUAAAAAGCAUGAUUAGAUAUUGUAUGGGGAAGGGAUUAAUAAAUGGAUCAUUGGUAUCUAAAACACUCGCCUUGAUGCUGGUCAGACUGUGUGUAAUCCUUCUUCUAUAGCUAUGAGAGAGAUAACAUUUAGAAGAGCUUCAGAGGUGCGUGACAUAAGACGGCCUUAACCCUUUAAGGCUUCGAGUGUCAGGCUUGAAUCAGGAAGUAUUUAAGUUUUAAGAGUCCCAAAACAUCAGAGUGAUUUUUAACAUCCAAGAAAGUAAAUAAUAACUUGCAAAAUGCUGUCUUCAGCAAAUGCAAUAUGGUAACUCUUACAUAUGCAAAAUUACUAUUGAUUUUAAUUUGUCAAGUUUAAUAGGUAUUCUGACAAAUUUGAGGGCAGGAAUCAGGGUUUUAAAUAGUGACAGGGUUGAUCCCACAGCUGCAUCUUGUCACUUACAGGAAAGUUGAGCAGAAAAACAUAAAACUGUUGUAUAUGAUAAUAAAGCCCCUAUGAUCUUGUUUUAGUUUUACAAGGAAAAUAAA